GGGAAUGUGGCUUAGAGGUAGAGAGUGCUUGCCUAGUAGGCAUGAAGCUGUGGGUUCAAUUCCUCAGUACCA
This 72-nucleotide transfer RNA is filed under the name Dipodomys ordii (Ord's kangaroo rat). It matches the Rfam family "tRNA". Rfam says of the family: Transfer RNA (tRNA) molecules are approximately 80 nucleotides in length. Their secondary structure includes four short double-helical elements and three loops (D, anti-codon, and T loops). Lineage: Eukaryota; Metazoa; Chordata; Mammalia; Rodentia; Heteromyidae. The record is from Rfam by way of RNAcentral.